GGAAUAUUGGUCAAUGGGCGAGAGCCUGAACCAGCCAAGUAGCGUGCAGGAAGACUGCCCUAUGGGUUGUAAACUGCUUUUAUGCGGGAAUAAAGUCAGGUACGUGUACCUGUUUGUAUGUACCGCAUGAAUAAGGACCGGCUAAUUCCGUGCCAGCAGCCGCGGUAAUACGGAAGGUCCGGGCGUUAUCCGGAUUUAUUGGGUUUAAAGGGAGCGCAGGCGGAGGAUUAAGCGUGACGUGAAAUGUCCCGGCUCAACCGUGGAAGUGCGUCGCGAACUGGGUUUCUUGAGUGAGUGCGACGUGUACGGAAUUCGUGGUGUAGCGGUGAAAUGCUUAGAUAUCACGAAGAACCCCGAUUGCGAAGGCAGCUGACGAGUCCUUAACUGACGCUAAAGCUCGAAAGUGCGGGUAUCGAACA
This 419-nucleotide ribosomal RNA is filed under the name uncultured Prevotella sp. RNAcentral's name for it is "bacterial SSU rRNA". It matches the Rfam family "Bacterial small subunit ribosomal RNA", at positions 358 to 774 of the family's 1533-position model. The record is from RNAcentral. Lineage: Bacteria; Pseudomonadati; Bacteroidota; Bacteroidia; Bacteroidales; Prevotellaceae.